RNAcentral lists this ribosomal RNA (426 nucleotides) under Triticum aestivum (bread wheat). RNAcentral's name for it is "partial small subunit ribosomal RNA". The record is from RNAcentral. Lineage: Eukaryota; Viridiplantae; Streptophyta; Magnoliopsida; Poales; Poaceae.
AUGGCCGACCUUUUCCACUGUGCCAGGACGUGCAAGCGGUGGAGCCGCCUCGUCGCCGACAUCCGCCGCCACCGGCCGGACCAGAUGUCGACUUCAUUGCUCUCUGGCUUCUUUCCAAAGAGAGGCAAGGUGAGGUACCUCUUCCCCACACCCGGGUCCUUGUUCGGGCCAGAUCGUCGCCUCCUCGGUUCCUUCUUGCGAGGCACCGCGAGAGACCUCAGUCGCGCAACACCCCUCUUCGCGCGCCAUGGCCUCCUCCUCAUGCGUCUCCCCUCCUCCGAUGCACCAAGCAUCAUCCACCUUGCCUUGUGCAAUCUGCUUGCCGGCACAUGCGAUGAACUCCCGCCGCUAAAGAUCAGGUGGAAGUUUGACAAAGGUGGCUACGCCAUCAUUACCGAUGCAGACCGUUCCUCAAACGGUAAGUAA